This 497-nucleotide ribosomal RNA is filed under the name uncultured bacterium. RNAcentral describes it as "partial 16S ribosomal RNA". It matches the Rfam family "Bacterial small subunit ribosomal RNA", at positions 28 to 507 of the family's 1533-position model. The record is from RNAcentral.
GAUGAACGCUGGCGACGUGCCUAAUACAUGCAAGUCGAGCGAACGGACGAGAAGCUUGCUUCUCUGAUGUUAGCGGCGGACGGGUGAGUAACACGUGGAUAACCUACCUAUAAGACUGGGAUAACUUCGGGAAGCCGGAGCUAAUACCGGAUAAUAUUUUGAACCGCAUGGUUCAAAAGUGAAAGACGGUCUUGCUGUCACUUAUAGAUGGAUCCGCGCUGCAUUAGCUAGUUGGUAAGGUAACGGCUUACCAAGGCAACGAUGCAUAGCCGACCUGAGAGGGUGAUCGGCCACACUGGAACUGAGACACGGUACAGACUCCUACGGGAGGCAGCAGUAGGGAAUCUUCCGCAAUGGGCGAAAGCCUGACGGAGCAACGCCGCGUGAGUGAUGAAGGUCUUCGGAUCGUAAAACUCUGUUAUUAGGGAGGAACAUAUGUGUAAGUAACUGUGCACAUCUUGACGGUACCUAAUCAGAAAGCCACGGCUAACUACGUG